UCCGGUUUGGCACCGGCAGUCUUCCUAGAGUCCCCGCCAUUACGCGCUGGCAACUAAGAACAGGGGUUGCGCUCGUUGCGGGACUUAACCCAACAUCUCGCGACACGAGCUGACGACAACCAUGCACCACCUGUGAACCGGCCCCAAAGGGGAAACCACACUUCUGCGGCGGUCCGGUCCAUGUCAAGCCUUGGUAAGGUUCUUCGCGUUGCAUCGAAUUAAUCCGCAUGCUCCGCCGCUUGUGCGGGCCCCCGUCAAUUCCUUUGAGUUUCAACCUUGCGGUCGUACUCCCCAGGCGGGGUACUUCCUGCGUUAGCGCCGGCACCCAGAGGGUCGCUCCCCCAGGCACCUAGUACCCAUCGUUUACGGCGUGGACUAC
This 379-nucleotide unclassified non-coding RNA is filed under the name uncultured bacterium. RNAcentral describes it as "contains 16S-23S intergenic spacer region". The record is from RNAcentral.